UAAGGAAUAUUGGUCAAUGGACGCGAGUCUGAACCAGCCAUGCCGCGUGAAGGAUGAAGGUCCUCUGGAUUGUAAACUUCUUUUAUCUGGGACGAAAACAGGAUUUUUAUCUCAAUUGACGGUACCAGAGGAAUAAGCACCGGCUAACUCCGUGCCAGCAGCCGCGGUAAUACGGAGGGUGCAAGCGUUAUCCGGAUUUACUGGGCGUAAAGGAUGCGUAGGCGGAUACUUAAGUUAGAUGUGAAAAUCCCGGGCUUAACUUGGGAACUGCAUUUGAAACUGGGUAUCUAGAGUGCGGGAGAGGAAAGUGGAAUUCCUAGUGUAGCGGUGAAAUGCGUAGAGAUUAGGAAGAACACCAGUGGCGAAGGCGACUUUCUGGACCGUAACUGACGCUGAGGCAUGAAAGCGUGGGGAGCAAACA
Molecule: ribosomal RNA, 421 nt
Filed under: uncultured bacterium
Lineage: Bacteria
Description: bacterial SSU rRNA
Rfam family: Bacterial small subunit ribosomal RNA
Source: RNAcentral